Molecule: unclassified non-coding RNA, 11240 nt
Filed under: Monomorium pharaonis (pharaoh ant)
Lineage: Eukaryota; Metazoa; Arthropoda; Insecta; Hymenoptera; Formicidae
Description: lysosomal-trafficking regulator, transcript variant X5
Source: RNAcentral
UAAAAAGAAAGAAAAGAAAACGCAAGAAAUGGACGCUCUUAAUUGUCAAUUUUACGAGACGAGAGUAACGAAGGUCAACUGUUAUCGUUAUCGUCGUCGUCAGCGCUGUUUAUCGACGUCGCGCGCCGAUCACGAAAAGUCCGCGAGGCGAUAAAAUAAUUAUAGACUGUGAAAGAAAAAAAAGGGAAAGGCUCGUCGUUUACAAAACGUAAGACCAGCAUUGGCGCGAUCCGAACGAGCCAAUUCAAGAAUUUGAUCGCUAACGCGCGAAAGCGACCUUCGUUCGUGACGAUGAAGGGAUGAAAUUUAUUUAACCGCGAGGGCAAUCCCCCAACGCCGGGUGAAUUACGUUUUUUCAUGGAAGAAAACCUAUUGGAGACGCCAGAGAGGCUCGAUCGUAGAUUUCCCCUUCCUUAUCAUGGAUAGUUAAUAUUCGACGUUCACCCGACGAGCUGAGGACUCAAGCCAGAGACACGAAUUGACGAGCAAGAGGAGUAUACUCUCGUUCGUGCGCGAAUAGACAUCGCGUUCGACUUACUCGCAUCGACAUAAUUUAGCGCUAAUUUUGAUUAAGUAAGCUUUUGAUUUUGAUAUUUCUAAUACAACAAUAUAAAUUUUGUAAAGUGUUCUAAAUAAGCAAUUUAAUUUAUUUAAAUAGAAUUUUCUUUUUGACAAAUAGUAGGUUGCAGAUAAAAGAAAAUCUUUCAAAACAUUUUGAAAAACUAAACUUUUUUUAGGCUAAUAAGUAAUAAAAUCAUUAAUAAUUGUUUCCUUCAAUUUUCCUUUGAGGAAAAGUAUUUCCUUUGAUUUGUAAAAAAAAUUAUUAACAUCGAAUCUGUUUAUUUUGAAACAUUUUGCAUAUGACAGAUAGGACAAAAUUAAGUAUAAACGAAUUUCUUAAGAUAUGUAUCAUGUAAUAUGUUUAGUUUAAAUAAUUUAAUUAACGGAUUUUUAUUAAGCAUUACAAUUAAUAUCAGUAUCAUUUUUGUUGAUCACGAUAUUGAAUCGUUGAUAAAGAUGAGUUUCUAUUGUACAUUACAUUAUGUCACAUCAAGGAUACAUUAGGAUAUUCUUCAGAAUACACACCUCAAUAUUUAUUUUUACUUUAACAAUCAUAUCUUAACGAAGUAUUUAAGAUCUGUUUUUCAAUUCCUAGAUCUAAACCAUAUAGCAUACCAUAUACCAAAUAUUAUACUUAACGAACAAACAAUAAUCAGAGGGAAUCGCUUAAAAAUAAGAAAUAGUUAUUGCUUCAGAGCAACAAUGAGAUCCUUGGAUUUUAAAUUUCUAGUUUUUUUUUUAAUUGAAUCAUGUUUACAAUUGAAACGACAGCAGCCUGAUCUUCGCACCAAGAUUUUUAACGUGAAUUUGAACAAGAAUUAAGGAAAAAAGUUUACUAAAGAGAAACGGCUUCGCGUUCUCGGGCUCAUCGUGAGGUUUACGAGCAGAUUGUCACAUGUUCUCUCCGAGAAGCGAUAACGGGGCACUGCCGUCGUAAACGGUACGAGAGCAAGUCGACAGAUAAGAGCCGCCAGUGACGGCAGAUCAGAUCCUGUCAUCGGUAGGAUGUAGCGGCGAUUCCUCGCGGUGUAGUGAUAGUUUAUUGAUAAAGUGUUGGCAAAGGCGAUAGCGGUAAUAGCGACGGCAGUGAUUGUUAUCGAAGAGUUUAUAAAUUUGGCGUUACCACUCUCUGUCAUUUCAUGCUCUGUGAAGAUUCCAAGCUUCCUCGCUGAAGACUGCAAACUAAUAGUAAAUCACGAAUACGUGGGGAUGUUAUGUAAGCCAUACUCGCCUUCAGUAAACACAUUCGGCACUCCCGCGUCGGGAUCUGAUUUGCAAUGCGCCACAAUGUUGCACAGUCGUAAUACUUCGAUUACAGAAAAUGAUUAAAUCGAGUCGAGUAAAAUACCAAUUGCUCUUGUUGAGGGCGUUUACUGUCUUUUGACUUGUUUUCGCAAAAUGUUUGUAUUAAAAUGUUACUCAAACACUCAUUUCUUGUUGUAUAUUAUGUACAUGAUGUAUUUUCUUUAAUUAUUUAUUGUGAAGAAAAUUCUAAUUGUCAGUACACGGAAUCACAGUUUCUCAAGUGACGUACGAGAUAGAACGUAUUGAUUAUGCAUCUCAACACGUGUUGGUUUACUCAGCGCGACGUGAGGAAUCCCGGUCUUUCAGGUGAUCAAGUUACUUGGUCGAAGAAUGCACGUCAAAGGCAGCAUGAGGAUAAUCUAUGCGCGUGGUUGAGUUUGGACGAGGUAGCGAGUUACGAGGAAGAUGUGCGAUUGAGGACCGAGGAGCCAGAAGAGGAGGACGAGAAAGAGAGUGAGGAACGGGGUUCAGGGAUGUCUACGGUGUCGACCAAUAAACUACAAGUUCUGUGGGAUCAUUUCAUCCACGCCGAACCUCAGAGUUACGAGAAAUCGUCCUGGCUUGAUAUAUUUCUGGCGGAACUGCUCGCGCAAAUUAAAGAAGGCAAAGACGUAAAAGAUGUUUUGUCUUGUUGUUCGGUUGGCGUUGGCGGUGUGUCAACUCUCGUGGCUUGCGAAUUGCUUUCGGAUGUGCACGAGUUGUGCGGAAACAAAAACAAUGGCGGUGAGUUGAUUGGUCUGCGAAAAUACCUGGUCCAGGAUCGCGGCUGGCGUUACCUGGCAGUGUUGCAUCUGUUAGGUGUACGUGGUUUAUCCUGCGGUCGCGAACUGGUCGCACUGUUGGUCGCUCUCUAUCAGGUCGCAUUCCAAGAGGGGGCCAACUCGGGGGCUGACUUGACUGUCGCGUCGCAAAAGUCUGAUGGCGAUUCCGCUGUCGUCGAGUCAUUGACACGCAACCAAUACAUCAAGUUUCACUGUAACGACGAUACCGUCGAUACAGUGAAUAUCGUGCUGCAUGCGAAACGCAAGAGCAAUAAGAAUUCUGGCCGCAGACGUUUUUCUCAUGAAGGCGAUACGCCGUCGCGCAGAAGAUUCGUUCGUCGACACAUGACUGGUACCACGAAAAUCCAGCAAUCCACCAGUCAUAAGCAAAAGAAGUCAUCAUCGAUUCUGGAAGCGCGACGUAAUACACCGAAGAACGAGACGAGCAGUGAGUUUGAACCAUCAACGGAUGGCAUUGAUCCAGCGCGUUCUCUUACGCUGAAGAUACGUCUGAAUCCGAUGGACUUCGAAUAUUUCACAUCGAUUGUUAGGAGCGACGAAGAGCAGAAAUGGCAAGCUGAACUGUAUGAGCUGCCACCUCGUCCCGUGAGGAAAACGCCGCGCGACUAUAUCGAUGAAAGGAUCCGCGAUGUAUUGGAUGCCAAUAUCAGUAAUUUCGAAAUUAGUCUAUUAAUUAUACAACUGCUGCAAGGUUUACGCGAUUAUGACACACCCGCCGAACAAACGCCAGCCGUGCAAGUCUUAAAAUUCGCUUUGGACACGCUAUGGUCACUACAAUUCGGCAUAGACGGCAGCAGUUUAAAUGGUACGGAAAGUGCGACCUUGAAGGCAGCGGCUGCCAGGUUGAUGUUGACAGCUCUCGAACGUGCCUUGAGGGCCGACGAACCUACCACGGCAGUGAUUCACAAUGGUCUGCUGCCAAUGACUCUGAGAUUGUUGGAAAAUGCCUGCAGCAAGCCAGUGAGUGUAUUAGAACCCGAGGAAGGUUCGUUGUUACAAGAAUUUAUCUUUGCCAUCAUCUAUGGAAUCGUCACGUUCCUCUAUUGCCUGUUGCACCAGCGUAGCAGUAAUGUCGACAAGCUGUCGGAUUUCCUCGAAUUAUUUCGACUUUUCGUCGAGAGUCAGGAUGGCAGGCUCGUCGAGAGAACGGUGUUUACGAUUGUAGAUCUUUCUAGUGUCGAUUCGGCGAAAUCAAUAGUACGGGCUAAGAAGAUAAUCGACAUAAUAGGGGCGCUGAUCAGCGGAUUGAAGCAUGUUCGUCGUGAUCUUUCGCACUCCACGCAGUGUCACAGGACCAAGCACAAAUCCUGUAUCGAACACAUUCAGAGUCACCAUCAUUCUGAUAUACUCGGAGCACCAUACUCUCAGUCGAUCGUUGGCGUAACCGAUAAACAAGUGUGCUGUAUCGCCUCAUUAUUUGCGACUCUCACGAGUUUACUGAAAGAAUCUCAUUUAUUCGCAAGCGAGCUGCAGGUGAGACUGAUCGGGAUAAUCACCGCCGCGGGUACGUGCUGUUGUUUCCCACCGAAGGUACUCGUUUCAUGCAUCGUCGCCUGUCUCAGAAAACGUAAUUUCUCGACAUACGCGCCAGCCGUAGCGUUCUUGGAGCGUACUCUCUUCAGAGAACUAGGUGUUUAUUCGACCAUGGAAGCAUGCAGCACCUGUGACAAACCAGCCAAUUACUCGUGGGAUUUCCUGGAACUGUACAUUGAUUUGCUGUAUCUUGACGAUCCGAAACUCUGUUACGUUGUCAUGGCGCAUCUGCUGAAAGUCACACCCGUUUCUCGAUUUCACGUCAAAGAACAACUUUUUUUCAAAAUUUUCUAUCCAACUUUUUUACGUGCUAAAACGCAUUACGUAGCCGAUAAAGACAACGCAACGGCGAGAUUUCUUUUGCAGUCCUGUAUAUCCGUUAUAUCAUGUUUAAUUGUGAAUCUGAAAAUGUGCGAGAAAUUCAUGGAGAUAAACGGAUUGCACGAAAUACUAUCUUUAAUAGCGGACGCGACAUUCACUAGGAGCGUCUACGCUCUUUUAGAAGUCACCGUGACCGUAGAAAUCUGGAGGAUUUGUAAGGAAUUUGACAAUACGGAAAGUAUUGAGACGCCAGCGACUAAGUUCCUCUUUGAAACCCUUGAUAGAGAGACGAACGAAUUGUUCAUCAAUUUGCAGCGUCUUAAGGAACUAAAUGUGGGAGAGAAGGCGGACCAGCAAAACGAGAAGGAUACGCCUGAUGAUUGUGACAAUCAAAAAGCUGAAAUAUCUGCUCUCGAUGAUUUAAGAACAGAGACCGCUGAGGUGGCGAUUGAAGGUCUCGAUGAUACAACAUUAUCGCAAUUACCUGAAAGUAAUAUUCACGAACAAUUAGAGAACAAGACUGAUACAAUAAAUGCCAUAGCAAAUUUGAAUUCGUUUGACUUUCUUAUAGAAAAUGCCAUUGAAGUGUGUAACGACGAGGAUGCGCCGUAUAAUAAAUUCAGCCUGUAUCAGGCUAGCGCAGCAUGGAGGGCUGCUGCAGGAGUAGCAUUAUGUAGCCCAAAAUUCCGCACUGAAUUAUCAGCACAUCCAAUAUCAAAAAAAUCAUUACACUUAUUCAAGUUGUUAACUGUGAGCAUCGCUAUGGAUAGUAUUGAAGAUAAAUCAGCGCAUAAGCUCUUCGAAGCCCUGAUUACGUGUUGUCUGAUAUCUCCGUUGUAUAAUUGUAACAUAGUCAUGGAGUUAAGAAAGAUACUGAUGAAUACUGGAAUAACACUUGGCCGUGGAAUAGCUGUGAUAGUGGACGCGGUGUUGAAGGUCUCUAUGCUAAAACCAGCACAAGAAAACAGUAUACAGCAACAACCGCGUCCCAGACUUCCAACCAUAUCGUUAGAGACUCUACCAGAUUAUGGUGCAGAAGAUAGCAGUACCGGCGAAUACGUAACCGCUGAUGAUGGAUAUGAAGCAGAUAUUGAAGUGCCUGGGAAAAAUACUAACAGCAUUUCCAAGAAAAACAGCAGCCCCCUUGGACCUGUGACAGAGCCGAGAAGCCACGCCAAUGCACAUCCUGCUUUGUGUUCCCUGGCAAUAGAUCUUUUAAUUCAUUUCAGUGAACAAGGUUUAGAUUUAGAAAGAGGAUCGAUAAUAACUGGUGGAUUGCGAAGGGUCACCGUUACUUGUCGAGAAAGUGCCUCAAGUUGUGCCGCCCUUGCGGCUUCAGGAACUAUUAUGAAAAUAUUGAAUGGUUUUAAAAAUAUAUUUAUGGAAAACGAUCCGCGAUAUCGAGACUUGCAACACGCGGCAUUGGAAGUUUUUACAUUAUUGGCAACGCAAUCAAUCUCACCAACAGAGCUUGUCGCGUAUCUGUCGUUUUUCAAAGUAAAGAAAUCGCCAUUAUUGCCCUUGCUGGAGCCAUUAUAUCACUUGGUGCUGGCUGCUCGACCUCAGCCGAAUUUUAUUCUAUCAUUCCCUGUACAGUAUGACACGAAAGUGUCGCUGAAGGCCCAAACGGAGGAACACAAAAAUCUGGAAAAAGUUGAGAAUCUUGUGAACAAUUUUAGAAAGAAGCAUCUCGCUGCGGGAAUUUGUAGUCCGUGGUCCGUACAUGCAACGUGUCUGCCCAUCGGACCGGAGCUUGCUUGGUCGGUGUGGUUGCAUGGUUGCUCCGUUUCCAUGUGGUUAAGGAUAGAAAGAGGGCUACCAGUUGGCGGACGUACUGUCCACAGUACUUCCCCAUUGCUUGAUUCAGAUAGUGAGAGUUUAUCAGACUGGGGUAUUCUUUCUGAUGACUGGAGUCGAGAUGUUUUAGCAGGUUCUGUGUCGCCACCCACUCCAACAUCAAUAAUACAUUUGAUGUCCAUCGGGUUUGAGUCGUUAGUUUUAGAAACUUGGCUUGAUCUUAGAUCAGAUAAAUUAAUUUUACGACUCACUCGACCAGAUGAUAAGAUGAAUCGGACAAUCUCCGAAACUUCGAUAAAUGGUAUGCUUCCUUCGGGAUGUUGGCAUCACUUAACUUUAAAUAUUAAAGAUACUGUCUUGAAUAAGCGCAGUGCUGUAGUUGAAGUUACGCUCUGGGUGAAUGGUUGGAAAGAAAUCAAUGCUCAAUUACCAUUUGACGGUUUACUAGUGAGAAAACCUGGUACUACGUGUAUUUUGUUAGGUCAAAUUGGGUCGAGUUUUGGUAGUAUUGGUGCGUGGUACCUUGGAAAUUUAAUGAUUUUUAGAUGUCCAGUAUUUACGAAAGAACGUGCAUUGCACCUGGCAGGUUUCGGACCAAAUUAUACUAACUUAGCAGAUUAUACUUUAAAUACGGUCAAACCAGAUUUUGCACCCCUUAUUGCAUCCGGUGCAUUGAAUGGCGUUCGCGAAGUGAGAUAUGAAGGAGGUAAAUUUGAUUUAAGCCGUCGAAAAUCUUAUGGCGGUACUUAUUUGAGACACGCCGUCGAAACGGUGGUAUCGGAAUCGAAAAUUGAUUGGGAUGCUGUUAUGGACGUGACAAAUUCACAUCUUAGCGAGCUGCAAGAUAAUUUGCUUCUUAAUUAUGAGGCUCAAAAUCCCAAUAUCGUACAUUUGUAUCCUCAAGCUGUCGCUAAUCCUGCUGUUGUUGUGAGAAGUAUCUUCCCGAGUCAACCAGGUUUCAGAGUCGUUUCGGUCCCAGAGCACAGAGUAUCACAACAGCCACCUUUAUCGAUACCUACGAUCGUAUCUACUCGUUUAGAGAGUCAACAAUACCGAGGUCUUGUACCUGCAGCAAUCUUAGUGGGCGGUGUACCAGUAUUCUUAUAUCUUUUUGCCAGAGUGGUAGAAUUAAGUUCAACCGAAGAAGAACAAGCAUUAGCUUUGUCCAUAAUCCUGCAUCUUGUUCGUAGUGAUUCGGAACUUCUGAAUCAAUAUCGAUCAGACGGCGGGACGUCACUAAUUCUGCGUGUCCUAGAAUCAUCUAGGUGUCACGCAGGUAGACAUAUUCUGAAGGCGAUGCUAGAUGCGGCAUGUGACAGCUCGAUCAUCAUCAAAGAUAUCAGCAGUGGCAAUCAUUCCAUCUCACAAAAUUGCGAAGCCGUUAUCAUAGAUCCGGGACUAAUCAAGGGUGCACUCACCGCGUGGAGAGCGUGGGUGAAAUACGAUACGUUAAAUUUACUGUUGCAAGCAUUAUUACUUUUAUUGCGCGAUCAACAUUCGCAUCGUGAAUUCAAUGCGUCACAAUUAAACAGGGUCGGAAUCGUAGAUACAAUUCUUACCUUAUGUAAGGAACACUUCAUGUACGAAAUGCAUGAAGAAGAAAGUACCAUAUUAGACUCGAAUACUGGAAUCGCUAUUGUGGAACUGAUGCGUGCCUUAAUGGGUGCACCGCCUGAAUUUGCUCACUUGGUCGCCAUCACUGAUUAUCUGGUUCUCGUUCAUCAAGCCUCGGAAACUUAUGUCACUCACUCGCGACACAAUAUCUAUUUUAUGCUGCCGCAACUGAAGGAAAAGAAUACAAAAAGGAACGAUACUAUUUCUGAUGAAUCGAUAGGUAUGGUGGAGAACAGUAAACUAAACAAGGCACUGACAAAUGAACAGAUUCAAAAAACGCGAAGCCCUAAAAAGAAGGAUCGUAAAAACGUGCUCUCAUCAGAUAAUACUAGUGCCGGAGAAGAUUCUGGAAUUGCAGGUAGCGAUGGGUCUAAUCCUCAAAGUAACGAAAGACAAUCAACAUACGCGGAUGAAAGAAGAGCCUGUCAGGGCUUAGUCUGCGAAGGGUUGUUAUUAUUAUUGAGAGAUGCCCUGAGAGUGUUACCAGAUUGUCAAGUUGGAUUAGUACUAAAGCAUGUUUUAAGAGCUGAACUGCUAUUAGUUCUAGCCAAUGAUCCUGAUAAUCGUGUACGCACAGCAUUGAUUAAGGUGAUACAAACCUAUCUACAACGUGCUAGCGAUGAGGAAGUAAAUAAGUUUAUAAAACAAAAGUAUUUCAUGCAUCUAGGAAAUCAGAUAGCUUUAUAUCCUGGAAGCGAAUCGCUGAUUGUCGCUUUAGAAAAUUUAGCUUUACGAGGUCCGACACUGGCGGCGAUGCCACCGUUAAUGGCAAUGAUUGCGAAGGCCGCGAGCUCUGAUUCAAAUGUAGCCAGGCCAAUAGUAUCUUUUAUCACUGACAUAAUAGCAAAGAACACGAGUGCACUGAAAGUACUUCUGGAGCAAGGUUUAAUCGAAUCAUUGGCACAAGCUUUGGCCGCAGCCGCGCAUAAGAGUACUUCAACAUCUAUUCACCGAGACAUUCACGUACUAUUCGUAGCAAUCGUGACCAAGCUUCUAGAACUACCGGGAAAUCAUCAGAUGCAAGCUGUACUCGAUCUACACAUGAUACUCGAUUACAUGGAACUAUCGGAGAAGUUACGAUGCCGCGCAAGUUUAACUUGCACGACCAUAAGAGACGCCCAAGUCGCAUUAUUUGAUGGAGAGUUAGAUAUGCUUACGACUAAAAUGUCGAAUCCUUCAGGAUUUCGUCUACGUAGCACAGCCUCUUAUUUGGCUUCGGCAUCUUACUUUACCUCAGUUCUCACGACAUCCAGCGAACAGAGUGAUCACGGGUCUCGUUCGUCUAGUUAUGCAAACUUUCAGACAAAUUCAUCCCAGGUGUUACGCGAACCUAGCAAAGGAGAACUAAAUGAUCGUUUUCGUAUUAUUGUGACACGUGCCGUUGAAUUUAUAAUGGCUGCUGACGCGUCGCCAUCUGUCAACGAAUUGCAAUUGACGAGAAGGUUAUUUUCCAUUCUUCUACAUGGUUUGUGUAAUCCGCUGGAGAAGAAAAAUCACUGGAGCAACACAUGGUCUGUUAGAUCGGCUUUGAAAAAGUAUACGGCUAAAAUUAUGGUAUGGCUGCUGGAACCACAUCAAAAUAUGAAUACGAGAGUAUACGCCAUCAGAUCUCUAAUGGAAGAACCGAGAGCUCGUGAAAUUUUGUCAUGUAUUCUGGAAGUUCAUCCACAGAUGGAGCAAAAGUUCACUGUAUUUUUUUGGGACCUGUUGCAAAAACGAGACGAGAUGCCGAGUGCUGAUGCUAGGGUGUGUGCAGAGUUAAGGGAAGCUUUGCGUGUAUGGAACCUUGCCAAAGGGAUAGAACAAGCUAGUCCUGAAGUAUGGAAUGAUGAAUUAGCUUUGUUACGUCGAGAUUUGCUUUCAACUCAAGAUAUUUGUAUCGACAAUUAUUCUGUGGUUUUAAGAAUUGGCAAAAGAUUUGAUGCGUUGGCGAAGCAGUUAACUGAAAGCGCUAUGACCAUAACGCGUUCGGUUGUGGAGGAACAAAAUCGUGAGCGCAAGGUGUUGAUGGAGCAGUUAAAACACACACGAGCAUUAGAGGCACAAGCGGUGGCUAGAUGGAGAGACAUAGCCAAACGACUAACACACGAACGGGCGCCAUGGCACUUUCCUGAAAGUUACCCGAAAAAUUGGGAAUUAGAUCCAACUGAAGGCCCUGCGAGAGUCAGAAUAAGACUUCAGAGAUGUCAUCUGAAUAUUGAUGAGAAAUUUUUUUUGCCUGAGUAUCAAGAUAAAUUAGCAUCUUCUAAUAUCGAGCUGCCAUUAUCGUAUUUGUUUACAAGUACUCGCGAAGACGCCAAUACUGCGGCAUUAAUAGAACGGUUGCAUACGAGUGAAAAAAUACGUAAGAUGUCUCAGGCAAAAGUUGUUACACCUAGGGCUGAAUUAGCUGGAGAAGUCCUCAUCGGCGAGACGUGCGUGUAUUUCGUUCCGGACAAUCCCGAUAUGCCGUUACAUACGGAUAUAGCAUUGGGUGGUUUCGAUUUGGCUGUGGCUGGUGGUACCGCUUGGCGUCUCGAAGAUAUUCGAGAAUUGCACAGAAGAAGAUACCAAUUGCAAGAGAGAGCCAUCGAAAUCUUUCUCAUUACUGGCAGAACAUACCUAUUGGCAUUCAAUUCGUCCAAGGAAAGGGAUGAAUUUGCGACGGAAUUGUCCGCAUGCAAUUUACCUAGGCGAAUCCCUGGUGAUGAUUUAGGAGAGGCUCUAGCCUUGUGGAGGAGUGGCGUGCUUACUAAUUGGGAAUACAUAACUUGCUUGAAUAAACUAGCAGGCCGUUCGUAUAAUGACUUAAUGCAAUAUCCCGUAUUUCCGUUCGUCUUGGCAGAUUACAUUAGCGAGAAGAUCGACUUGAACAACCCGAAAAUUUAUCGAAAUUUUAAACGACCAAUGGCUGUGCAAGAUAAAAAGAACGAGCAACAUUACAUAAAUAAUUAUAAUUACUUGAAACAAACUUUAACAGAAGGAUUAAAUCUAAUUGCUUUAAAUCAAGGACCAUUCCAUUAUGGCUCUCAUUAUAGUAAUUCUGGAACUGUAUUACACUUUUUGAUAACAAUUUUGAUAUUCCCGACCGAACAUUUCAUGCAUUAGCCACUACAUGGAGAUUAACUAGUUGCGAUUCAACAACAGACGUGAAGGAAUUGAUACCAGAAUUUUUUUAUUUACCUGAAUUUUUAUUAAAUUUCGAAGGAUUCAAUUUCGGUGUUCGACAAAAUGGCAACCAAGUAGGAGAUGUUGAAUUGCCAAAGUGGUGUGGUGGUGAUGCACGUCUAUUUAUAUUGGCACAUAGAGCUGCGCUGGAAUCCGACAUUGUGAGGGAGGUAUUGCCAU